UCUCCGUAGGUGAACCUGCGGAGGGAUCAUUACUGAGUGAGGGCUUCGGUCCGACCUCCAACCCUUUGUGGACCCAUCUCGUUGCUUCGGGGGCGACCCUGCCGCUUCGGCGGUGCGGCGCCCCCGGAGGCCAUUAAACACUGCAUCAUUGCGUCGGAGUUAAAGUAAAUUAAACAAAACUUUCAACAACGGAUCUCUUGGUUCUGGCAUCGAUGAAGAACGCAGC
Molecule: unclassified non-coding RNA, 226 nt
Filed under: uncultured fungus
Lineage: Eukaryota; Fungi
Description: sequence contains ITS1, 5.8S rRNA gene
Rfam family: 5.8S ribosomal RNA (bases 178-226)
Source: RNAcentral